RNAcentral lists this ribosomal RNA (497 nucleotides) under uncultured bacterium. RNAcentral describes it as "partial 16S ribosomal RNA". It matches the Rfam family "Bacterial small subunit ribosomal RNA", at positions 28 to 507 of the family's 1533-position model. The record is from RNAcentral.
GAUGAACGCUGGCGGCGUGCCUAAUACAUGCAAGUCGAGCGAACAGACGAGGAUCUUGCUCCUCUUACGUUAGCGGCGGACGGGUGAGUAACACGUGGAUAACCUACCUAUAAGACUGGGAUAACUUCGGGAAACCGGAGCUAAUACCGGAUAAUAUAUUGAACCGCAUGGUUCAAUAGUGAAAGACGGUUUUGCUGUCACUUAUAGAUGGAUCCGCGCCGCAUUAGCUAGUUGGUAAGGUAACGGCUUACCAAGGCAACGAUGCGUAGCCGACCUGAGAGGGUGAUCGGCCACACUGGAACUGAGACACGGUCCAGACUCCUACGGGAGGCAGCAGUAGGGAAUCUUCCGCAAUGGGCGAAAGCCUGACGGAGCAACGCCGCGUGAGUGAUGAAGGUCUUCGGAUCGUAAAACUCUGUUAUUAGGGAAGAACAAAUGUGUAAGUAACUAUGCACGUCUUGACGGUACCUAAUCAGAAAGCCACGGCUAACUACGUG